Molecule: ribosomal RNA, 429 nt
Filed under: Chloroflexota bacterium
Lineage: Bacteria; Bacillati; Chloroflexota
Description: Chloroflexi bacterium partial 16S ribosomal RNA
Rfam family: Bacterial small subunit ribosomal RNA
Source: RNAcentral
UGGGGAAUAUUGCACAAUGGGCGCAAGCCUGAUGCAGCCAUGCCGCGUGUAUGAAGAAGGCCUUCGGGUUGUAAAGUACUUUCAGCGGGGAGGAAGGGAGUAAAGUUAAUACCUUUGCUCAUUGACGUUACCCGCAGAAGAAGCACCGGCUAACUCCGUGCCAGCAGCCGCGGUAAUACGGAGGGUGCAAGCGUUAAUCGGAAUUACUGGGCGUAAAGCGCACGCAGGCGGUUUGUUAAGUCAGAAGUGAAAUCCCCGGGCUCAACCUGGGAACUGCAUCUGAUACUGGCAAGCUUGAGUCUCGUAGAGGGGGGUAGAAUACCAGGUGUAGCGGUGAAAUGCGUAGGGAUCUGGAGGAAGACCGGUGGCGAAGGCGGCCCCCUGGACGAAGACUGACGCUCAGGUGCGAAAGCGUGGGGAGCAAACAGG